UUCUUCUUUAGUACGAGAGGAUUUGGAAGGACGUAGCUCUGGUGUACCAGUUGUCAUGCUAAUGGCACGGCUGGAUAGCUAACUACGGAAAGGAUAAACGCUGAAAGCAUCUAAGCGUGAAGCCCGCUCCGAGAUUAGGUUUCGAUUGAGUCCCCUGGAAGACUACCAGGUUGAUAGUCCGGAUGUGUAAGGCCAGUAAUGGUUUAAGCUUACCGGUUACUAACGGACAACUACUUGGCCAC
Molecule: ribosomal RNA, 242 nt
Filed under: Planctomycetaceae bacterium
Lineage: Bacteria; Pseudomonadati; Planctomycetota; Planctomycetia; Planctomycetales; Planctomycetaceae
Description: partial 23S ribosomal RNA
Rfam family: Bacterial large subunit ribosomal RNA
Source: RNAcentral